UGGGAGGUAACUCAAUGGUAGAGCACAUGAUUCAUGCUCUAAGUCCUGGGUUCAAUUCCCAGCUCCUAA
RNAcentral lists this transfer RNA (69 nucleotides) under Cricetulus griseus (Chinese hamster). It matches the Rfam family "tRNA". From Rfam's summary of the family: Transfer RNA (tRNA) molecules are approximately 80 nucleotides in length. Their secondary structure includes four short double-helical elements and three loops (D, anti-codon, and T loops). Lineage: Eukaryota; Metazoa; Chordata; Mammalia; Rodentia; Cricetidae. The record is from Rfam by way of RNAcentral.